This 892-nucleotide ribosomal RNA is filed under the name uncultured bacterium. RNAcentral's name for it is "bacterial SSU rRNA". It matches the Rfam family "Bacterial small subunit ribosomal RNA", at positions 28 to 896 of the family's 1533-position model. The record is from RNAcentral.
AAUCAACGCUGGCGGCGUGCCUAACACAUGCAAGUCGAACGCGAAAGUCCCGCAAAGGGAUUAGUAGAGUGGCAAACGGGUGAGUAACACGUGGGUGACCUACCUUCGAGUGGGGGAUAACCUUCCGAAAGGAGGGCUAAUACCGCAUGACAUCCCAUGUUUGGAUACAUGGACAUCAAAGCCCGGGGAUCGCAAGACCUGGCGCUUGAAGAGGGACCUGCGCCCGAUUAGCUAGUUGGUGAGGUAACGGCUCACCAAGGCUUCGAUCGGUAUCCGGCCUGAGAGGGCGGACGGACACACUGGAACUGAGACACGGUCCAGACUCCUACGGGAGGCAGCAGUGGGGAAUUGUUCGCAAUGGGCGCAAGCCUGACGACGCAACGCCGCGUGGAGGAUGAAGACUUUCGGGUCGUAAACUCCUUUCGACCGAGAUGAAAAGCCUGCGAUCUAAUAGGUCGCAGGUCUGACAGUAUCGAGAGAAGAAGCCCCGGCUAACUCCGUGCCAGCAGCCGCGGUAAUACGGGGGGGGCAAGCGUUGUUCGGAAUUACUGGGCGUAAAGGGUCUGUAGGUGGCUUGCUAAGUCAGACGUGAAAUCCCUCAGCUUAACUGGGGAACUGCGUCUGAGACUGGCGAGCUUGAGGGCAGGAGAGGAACGCGGAAUUCCAGGUGUAGCGGUGAAAUGCGUAGAUAUCUGGAGGAACACCGGUGGCGAAGGCGGCGUUCUGGACUGCAUCUGACACUGAAAGACGAAAGCCAGGGGAGCAAACGGGAUUAGAUACCCCGGUAGUCCUGGCCCUAAACGAUGAAUGCUUGGUGUGGCGGGUAUCGAUCCCUGCCGUGCCGUAGUUAACGCGAUAAGCAUUCCGCCUGGGGAGUACGGUCGCAAGGCUG